AGAGUUUGAUCCUGGCUCAGGACGAACGCUGGCGGCGUGCUUAACACAUGCAAGUCGAACGAUGAAGCCCAGCUUGCUGGGUGGAUUAGUGGCGAACGGGUGAGUAACACGUGAGUAACCUGCCCCUCACUCUGGAAUAAGCGUUGGAAACGACGUCUAAUACUGGAUAGGACCGCCGAUCGCAUGGUCUGGUGGUGGAAAGAUUUUUUGGUUGGGGAUAGACUCGCGGCCUAUCAGCUAGUUGGUGAGGUAAUGGCUCACCAAGGCGACGACGGGUAGCCGGCCUGAGAGGGUGACCGGCCCCCCUGGGACUGAGACACGGCCCAGACUCCUACGGGAGGCAACAGUAGGGAAUAUUACACAAUGGGCGAAAGCCUGAUACAGCAACGCCGCGUGAGGGAUGACGGCCUUCGGGUUGUAAACCUCUUUUAGUAGGGAAGAAGCGAAAGUGACGGUACCUGCAGAAA
This 467-nucleotide ribosomal RNA is filed under the name uncultured Curtobacterium sp. RNAcentral's name for it is "bacterial SSU rRNA". It matches the Rfam family "Bacterial small subunit ribosomal RNA", at positions 8 to 487 of the family's 1533-position model. The record is from RNAcentral. Lineage: Bacteria; Bacillati; Actinomycetota; Actinomycetes; Micrococcales; Microbacteriaceae.